AUACGUCGACAGUUCCCCACCACC
Molecule: non-coding RNA, 24 nt
Filed under: Arabidopsis thaliana (thale cress)
Lineage: Eukaryota; Viridiplantae; Streptophyta; Magnoliopsida; Brassicales; Brassicaceae
Source: RNAcentral